GCGUCCAGUGGCCCCUCAAGAGCACCCAGAGGCCCUUAAACAGUCCCCAGAGGCCCCUCAAGAUCUUGUCCCCUGGACCUUGGAMGACUUUUGGGCCUACCAAAGCAAGGUUUCUCAAACAACUGUGGGGUGUUUGUUUUGAUGUACACUAGUAGAUAUCAGAUUUUUUGGGAUGCCCAUCCGAUUUUAUUUCUCAAAGGAAAACAUGCAGCAAAUUCGGCGCUGGUGGUGCCUAGUUCUCCUGCAGAACUUUCCAAUGCCGUCUGAGGAGAGGUUGAAAGAUCAAAAAAGGCGGCGAAAACAAAGCGCACUACAGGAUGAUGUUGGAGGCGAGCCCCACCCCCAAGAAAUCACAGCAUGUUACAUCAGCAUCCAACUCUGCAGGACCAGACGAUACUGAAAACAAAAUGCACUGGGAGCUGUGAACUGGUGUAAUUGGGAUGGACGGGGAAGACCGCUUAAAGAACUACAGUUGUAUGAUGGCUUGGAUGAAGAGGAAAAUAUUCUCCUUAAGGAACCAUUCAUGUUCCAGUUACAGAGAUUAUGAGAUGUUCUAUGUGGAGGCAGUUGACAACAAGAAAAUGACUGUCUUUGCCUCUUGAGCAGGAGUGAAGCCAUUUUUUGAGGAGUGGUCAAACCUUGUUUUUGUCUGCUGUGUUAAUUGUUUCAAUUGUUAAUUGUGUUGUUUCGUAAAGAUGACGUAGAAGUCA
Long non-coding RNA from Salvelinus sp. IW2-2015, 710 nucleotides. RefSeq lists it as uncharacterized. Lineage: Eukaryota; Metazoa; Chordata; Actinopteri; Salmoniformes; Salmonidae. The record is from RefSeq and is a predicted model, not a curated record.